GACGAACGCUGGCGGCGUGCCUAAUACAUGCAAGUCGUGCGGACCUUGUUGAAAGCUUGCUUUUAAAAGGUUAGCGGCGGACGGGUGAGUAACACGUGGGCAACCUGCCUGUAAGACUGGGAUAACGCCGGGAAACCGGGGCUAAUACCAGAUCGUUUUUUCCUCCGCAUGGAGGAAAAAGGAAAGGCGGCUUCGGCUGCCACUUACAGAUGGGCCCGCGGCGCAUUAGCUAGUUGGCGGGGUAAUGGCCCACCAAGGCAACGAUGCGUAGCCGACCUGAGAGGGUGAUCGGCCACAUUGGGACUGAGACACGGCCCAAACGCCUACGGGAGGCAGCAGUAGGGAAUCUUCCGCAAUGGACGAAAGUCUGACGGAGCAACGCCGCGUGAGUGAAGAAGGCCUUCGGGUCGUAAAACUCUGUUGCCGGGGAAGAACAAGUGCCGUUCGAACAGGGCGGCGCCUUGACGGUACCCGGCCAGAAAGCCACGGCUAACUACGUG
Molecule: ribosomal RNA, 500 nt
Filed under: uncultured bacterium
Lineage: Bacteria
Description: partial 16S ribosomal RNA
Rfam family: Bacterial small subunit ribosomal RNA
Source: RNAcentral